GGUAGCUUAGGUAAGGAUGAUCAGAUAGCUGGGUGCUGGACGUUAGGACCGCCGGUGUCGAUUUUCAUGCCUUUUGUUAACGGUAUUGUGGAUUUGUGUUUAGUUGACUCGAUUUGGCAUUAGGUCAGGACCGGUCUUGAAUUAUAUCAAUGUAUGGAUAUUUCUCGAAUCAAUAAAGUAAAUGUUUUAUAUGCGCUUCAUGAGUACUCUGAUAU
RNAcentral lists this long non-coding RNA (215 nucleotides) under Brassica napus (rape). RNAcentral describes it as "long non-coding RNA (BNAP_LNC023249)". Lineage: Eukaryota; Viridiplantae; Streptophyta; Magnoliopsida; Brassicales; Brassicaceae. The record is from RNAcentral.